AAGAACUUUGAAGAGAGAGUUCAAGAGGGCGUGAAACUGCUUAGAAGCAAACGGAUGGACCUGACGGUGAGUCGAUGGGAUUCAGCUUAGUGCGCUGCCACCACCUAGAACAUCGGAUCGCUCGACUGGUUUCGGGGUAAGGUUGCAGUCGGUGAGUGCAUUUCCCAUCGAUGCGCACCGAGACCUGUGACCGCACUGGAAUCAAAAGAACAAUUGCCGGCCAUUGUUUUGGUGUCCCGCUGUUCUUGUAGACCAAGUUGCCGUUACAGGAGCUCGAAUGGACCCGCUCGGCUCAUGGGCACUUUGAACCUUUCCAAUCGAAGUGUUGUUCCUUGCUCGCAAGGUUCGGCGACACCUGGAUCGGUGAUAGGUGUUGGAUGAGCAGGUCCUAUUUCCCGGUGUUUCGUCAGUCACCCAUCCGACCCGUCUUGAAACACGGACCAAGGAGUCUAACAUGUGCGCGAGUCAUUGGGUUGCAAAACCUAAAGGCGAAAUGAAAGUGAAGUCCAAUUCGGUUGGAUGAUAUGGGACCCCGCGGUUCGUACCUCGGGUGCACCAUAGUCCCAUCCUUACUGCAUCGUCAGUCGGGUGGAGAUAGAGCGUACACGUUGGGACCCGAAAGAUGGUGAACUAUGCCUGAGCAGGAUGAAGCCAGAGGAAACUCUGGUGGAGGUCCAUAGCGAUUCUGACGUGCAAAUCGAUCGUCGGACUUGGGUAUAGGGGGCGAAAGACUA
This 734-nucleotide ribosomal RNA is filed under the name Laxus sakihariiae. Its description in RNAcentral is "eukaryotic LSU rRNA". It matches the Rfam family "Eukaryotic large subunit ribosomal RNA", at positions 369 to 933 of the family's 3401-position model. The record is from RNAcentral. Lineage: Eukaryota; Metazoa; Nematoda; Chromadorea; Desmodorida; Desmodoridae.